This 253-nucleotide ribosomal RNA is filed under the name uncultured bacterium. Its description in RNAcentral is "partial 16S ribosomal RNA". It matches the Rfam family "Bacterial small subunit ribosomal RNA", at positions 524 to 776 of the family's 1533-position model. The record is from RNAcentral.
UACGGAGGGUGCAAGCGUUAUCCGGAUUCACUGGGUUUAAAGGGUGCGUAGGCGGGUUGGUAAGUCCGUGGUAAAAUCUCCGAGCUUAACUCGGAAACUGCCGUGGAUACUAUCAAUCUUGAAUAUCGUGGAGGUAAGCGGAAUAUGUCAUGUAGCGGUGAAAUGCUUAGAUAUGACAUAGAACACCAAUUGCGUAGGCAGCUUACUACACGAUCAUUGACGCUGAGGCACGAAAGCGUGGGGAGCAAACAGG